CCUUAUUUUUUUUCAUGCCUCUCUCUUUCACAUAAGCAAAAUUAUCAAUUAAGCGGGUUAUAAGUCCAUUAUUAUACUUGCUCAGAGGAGUACAGAAUAGUGGUCAGAAUAAAUAAGCCAUAGAUUAGUCUUAGAAUCAUCAUCAUCAUCAUCCAGGGCGCGCGCGCCGCGGCGGCCAGCAUUAUCUACAACUUGGUCUUCUUCACUUUCAACCUUCCUUUCCCCUCCCCUGCUCAUUCCUUCCUGAGCGCACCAAAAUUCAGCUAGUGUAAAAGUAGUAUGUUUUUUUCUUCUAGUUCUUCACUUAGAACUAAGUAAAUAUUUAACCCGCCCCCAAGAGCUGACACUAGCCAUGAGCACAUGAUGAUGAUUCUUCCAUAUGAGCAAGUAAACCCCAAAAAGUUGCAUGAGCCAACAGAAACAUGAGGUUUCUUGGUUGGGGGUCUUGUUCUUCAGGUCUCCACCGCCAGGCUGCUGCUGCCGCCGCUGGAGAGGCUCGCGUUCGUCCCGUCCUGCUCCAUCAUCGCCGCCUUCCUCUUUCUGCUGCCGCCGCCGCAGUCACCCGUGAUUCCGGUGGCGGUCACCUCGGCUGGCACUUCCUCCGCCGCCGCCGGCUCGGCUUGUGCUUGCUCUGCUUUCUGCUGCUGCCGAGGCUUCUCUUGUGUCUGUGGCUGCUGCUGCUCUGUCUGUGGCUUCUGCUGCGGCUGCGGCUGCGGCUGGAGCUGGGGCUGCUUCCGCCGGACCAGGUGAGACUUGAGCUUCUUCAUGUCGGCGAGCUUCACGGGCUUGAGGAAGAACUCCUCCGCGCCAUCCUCCAAGCACCUGAAAACCAAAUCCCGACCACUCCAUUCAUUCUCCAGCCAGCACACGAACAAACAAGAUAGAUUUUUUACUGCAUCAACUGUACACUGAACAAGAGAGAAAAGAUUUGCAAUCCUUCUAACAUUUCCCACUUCGGUUUGCGGCCACAUCACUCAAAGGAAAAAAGGACACGCCGGCAGCAGUACAUGUCAGAUAUCUUUGCCCGGACAAGCAAAAGAUACGGUCUUUUGGGGUUUCCAGGCCCUUUUGACUCACACCCAAUGGCCUACUUUAAUGCCAAGUGUUCCUUUUUUUCUAUUCACCACUAGCAGCACCAAGUGGCCACAGAAAUUUUCAUAAAAAGAGGAGCAGCAACAAUUUUCUUUUUCCCAACAAAUCUUUGAGUUGAGCCCGAAAAGAUUUUGCCAGAUCUUGACCACCCACCACUGAUGAUGACAGGAACAUAUUUGCUCUUAAAUGCUUUGGGUCAUUGUCACAAGGAUAUGCAAUCUAUGCAUGAAAACACCCCGCGUUUAUGGCCCCUCAAUUGUGGUCGAGACCACAUCAACGGGACUGUUGCGGGGGCGAAUUCCUCGGCUUUUUCUCCACUUGUCACGCCCUGCUAUAUCGCCAAUGCCAUUGUUCACAUCCGACGGGCCAAAUCUUUCAUGCUUGGAUUCUAUCGCCACGUUAUUUCAGCAACUAUUUGGAGGUUUGCGGAAACUUUUCCGGCAAAGUAAAGUUUAUUCAGAAACACAUUUCCUGUGGUCUGAAUGUCAAUUUUAGAAAUUGUCUUCCUCCAGAAGAAGAACAUUGAAUUUUAUGAGGAUUUUCUUUGCGAGUUUCGGGGCUAGCAGUGCCAAACUACUAGACAGCCUAUUUUCUGGACGAAUGAACGGCUGACUGGCUAGCCUUUUCACUCCUAUAAAAAGGCACGAAUUCAGGGUGGAAAAGUUGCAAAUCUUUUAUGCUAUUUAAUAAAAAACCAAUCCCAAGGUCUGAAGAGGCCUCCUUGCAAAUAUAAAUUGAUAUCCAUUGGCCAUUCAACUACUCCUCCUUUAAGCAAAAACUGCUGGUACUCUAUGAUGGCAAGAUAUUCCUUCUGCUCCCCACCACAGCCCCCUACCCCUACCCCUACCCCCAUCUCAUCAUACAGUACAUAAAAGGACCAUGUACUGCACUGUUAAACCAGACACGAGAACAGUAAAAACAAAUCAUUCCCAUUUACUACAACACGCCGAUUUCAUGAGCUAGUACUAGCUAGAUCAACCAUGGUGGCUAGGGUAAAAAGUAUGGGCAGAAGUGAGCGGAGCAGAGCAGAGCAUUCGUGGGGUGCAUGAGUGAGUGAGGUUAUGGUGCUGACCUGCUGAUCCUGGCAGGCACAUUCUCAGAGGACAUGAUCACCACCGGAAUGUCCUUCAGUGAGGAUGACCCCUGCACAACCCAGGAUUAAGCAGCAACUUUUUGGGACCGAGAUGCAGGGAUGAAUUGAUGGAUGGAUGGUGGGAUUGAAAGGGGGGGCUCUGCAAAAUGGUUUUACCUUGACCCUCCUCAGCAGAUCGUAUCCUGUCAUGCCCGGCAUGCAGUAGUCAGUGAUGAUCAAAUUCACGCCCACCUCCUGCCACAAAAAGGUUGACAGCAUCACGUGGCCGGUUUCAGAUCUCGUUCCAUGGCGCAACCACCGAGAAGAUGAGAAGAAUGAAUCGAGUAUAGCUGAUUUUGCUGCUGGCAGUACCUGAUGGUGGUCGGGGGCGGAGGAGGAGGGAGGGGAUGAGGAUGAGGAGGAUGAGGAGGAGGAGUCCUCGUCUCUCAAUCCCAGCACCUCCAGCGCCUUGCUCCCGGAGUCCACCGUGGUCACUGCACGCGCCGCUCGCAGAGAAAAGAACCCGGCCGUGAGAUUUGGGGAAGAAGAGCAGCAGAAAGAAGAACCCGGCAAGUUUCAACCUGGAAGAGGUUGGGCUCACCUUGGUAGGAGGAGGUCUUGAGCAGCAUCUCGAUGAGCUUCCGGUCGAUGACGCUGUCGUCCACCGCCAGGACGUGGAACCGGGACUCGGCGUCCACCACCGUCAUGGCGCGUCCAGGCAGGAAGAAGAGCCAAUCCUGGCGCUCAGGCAGAGUGGAAGGAGGAGGAGGAGGGAAAUCUCGCCGGUCACUCCGUCGCCGCCGUGGGGGAGAGGAGGAGAGGAUUUGAGGGAGACGGUGGAAGUGCUGCGUUGGUGGCUAAUGCGGCAUCUCGGGGCUGGGAGGGAGGGCUACGGGGAGGAUAUAGGCGCGCUGGACGACAUGAUUCAUUCACACCACACCAUGGCAGCACCCACCACCGCCACCGCCACCGCCUCGGCCUCUUCUUCCCGGGAAAGCAGGAUCCGACCAGAUCACGGACCCGAAUCUCCACAGCAAAUCGCCUCCAUGAUUUCCCCUCCUUUACCUCCUCGUGGCCACUCUCUCUCUCUCUCCUCCUCUGUCUCGGUGGUGGUGGUGGGUUUGAGGAGAGCGCUCUCUUCUUUGGCUUUGGAAGCGGGCGGAGCAGCGCAAGCCGGUUGAUUUCCUCUGCCAUUUAUCGGUGCCGUGCUCAGUGCGUCGUGGAUCGGUCCCUCUGCUUUCUUCGAGAUUCGUGCGGGCUGCCACGCCACGCCACGUCCCGUGCUACAUACAGAUUGCAGAGUCUCAUUUUUACCGCCCGAUGUGGCUUGAAACUCAACCACUCGUACCACUUCGUCCCAAAAUAAGUGACUCAAAAAUAAUUUAAUUUUAUACUAACUUUAGUAUAAAAUAGAGUCAUUUUUAAGUCACUUAUUUUGAGACGGACCAUCCCACAGACUGUCCCGCGAUCCGUCCGGCUUCGAUCUAGUGCCGAACGGACAACACCUCCGCGUUCAGCACACGUACACCUCAACGAUGAUCUCGGCCUUCUUGAUCCAGCAAGCAAGACGGAGAAGUAGAUGAAUUUUAUGGCAGCGUGACAGCGCUCCGAUGGUGGUGAAGGAUCUACUCCCGCAGGGCUCCGCCCAAGCUCCGCAGAAAUACGAUCUAGAGGUAAAACUAUGGUGUCUAGAUUUGAGUUGCACGCGGCAAAGUUGUCUGAAAUCAGCCCUAAAUCAACACUAUAUAUAGGAGGGAGGGGAAGGAGGCUUGCCUUGAGGGCAAGGGUGCACCGGAAAGGGAGGAGGAGGAGUCCUACUCCAAUCCUAGUCCAACUAGGAUCGGAAAGUGGAGUCCUUCUCUUCCUUCCCACAUUUCCUUUUUUUCUUUGGUUCUGUCUAUGGCGCAUAGGCCCUCUUGGGUUGUCCCACCAGCCCACUAAGGGCUGAUGCGCCACCCAUAGGUCCUUUGGGCUUCCUCCGGGAGGGUUGCCCCCCUCCCGGUGAACUUCCGGAACCCAUUCGUCACUCCCGGUACAUUCCCGGUAAUGCCCGAAAACUUUCCGGUAACCAAAUGAAGUCAUCCUAUAUAUCAAUCUUCGUCUUUGGACCAUUCCGGAAACCCUUGUGAUGUCUGUGGUCUCAUCCGGGACUCCGAACAACAUUCAGUAACCACACAUAUAACUCAACUAUACUAAAACAUCGCCGAACCUUAAGUGUGCAGACCCUACGGGUUCGAGAACUAUGUAGACAUGCCCCGAGGUACUGCUCGGUCAAUAUCCAAUAGAGAGACCUGGAUGCCCAUAUUGGAUCCUACAUAUUCUCCGAAGAUAUUAUCGCUUGAACCUCAGUGUCAAGGAUUCAUAUAAUCCCGUAUGUCAUUCCCUUUGUCCUUCGGUAUGUUACUUGCCCGAGAUUCGAUCGUCGGUAUCCGCAUACCUAUUUCAAUCUCGUUACCGGCAAGUCUCCUUACUCGUUUUGUAAUACAAGAUCCCGUGACUUACACUUAGUCACAUUGCUUGCAAGGCUUGUGUGUGAUGUCGUAUUACCGAGUGGGCCCCGAGAUACCUUUCCAUCACACGGAGUGACAAAUCCCAGUCUUGAUCCAUACUAAUUCAACGGACACCUUCGAAGAUACCUGUAGAACACAUUUAUAGUCACCCAGUUAUGUUGUGACGUUUGAUGCACACAAGGUAUUCCUUCGGUGCCAGUGAGUUAUAUGAUCUCAUGGUCAUAGGAACAAAUACUUGACACGCAGAAAACUAUAGCAAUAAAACGACACGAUUAAUAUGCUACGUUCAUAGUUUGGGUCUAGUCCAUUACAUGAUUCUCCUAAUGAUUUGAUCCAGUUAUCAAGCAACAACACUUUGCACAUAGUCAGAAAACCUUGACUAUCCUUGAUCAAUUGGCUAGCCAACUAGAGGCUUGCUAGGGACAUUGUUGUGUCUAUGUAUCCACACAUGUAUCUAUGUUUUCAUUCAAUACAAUUAUAGCAUGGAUAAUAAAUGAUUAUCUUUAAACAGCAAAUAUAAUAAUAACUAUUUAUCAUUGCCUCUAGGGCAUAUUUCCAACAUUUCCAUCGUGUCAUCGCAGAAUCAUCCCAGCUGUCGAUGAACCAUCGGAGAGGAUGAAUGCACCAUCAAUAGAUAACACAACCUGGCCUUCUCAUGAACUCAGCCAUACAAGGGACUGCGUGGAAUGCUAUGUUGGACGUCCAAGUCCUGGAACAUCGGCAUCUUUCCAUUGGUAAUCGCAUCAGUAGAAAAUCUCCUGCACAUGUUCAACGAGUUCAUAUAACUCUGAAGAUAAUCAGCAGUUACAGCCACUGAUGGAAGAUCUUUCCCAUGCGCUAAAUCUGAACGAAGGGACCAAAUUCUCCAUAACAGCAUAAUUGUGCAGUCCCGCAUGGUAUCAUCACAACUAGCAAGUAUGUUGAGCGGCCACUCCUGACCUGUAUCCUACACCAAUUCUUGUCUUGGAAAUCUCCACACAUUCCGCAUCUAUGACCAAACCCCUCUUGGAUGCUGAUGACCCACAAGUCUAGGGGAUCAAUCGUAGUCCUUUCGACAAGUAAGAGUGUCGAACCCAACGAGGAGCAGAAGGAUCUGACAAGUGGUUUUCAGCAAGGUAAAAUCUACAGGCACUGAAAUUGUCGGUAACAAGUGAUUGUGUGGUGAGAUGAUUCGUAGUAAGCAACAAGUAACAAAAGUAGCAACGAUGCAGCAAAGUGGCCCAAUCCCUUUUGUAGCAAGGGACAAGCCUGGAUAAAGUCUUAUAGGAGGAAAAACGCUCUAGAGGACACACGGGAAUUUCUGUCAUGCUAGUUUCAUCAUGUUCAUAUGAUUCGCGUUUGUUACUUUGAUAGUUUGAUAUGUGGGUGGACCGGCGCUUGGGCACUGCCCUUACUUGGACAAGCAUCCCACUUAUGAUUAACCCCUCUCGCAAGCAUACGCAACUACGAAAGAAGAAUUAAGACAAAGUCUUACCAUAGCAUUAAAGUAGUGGAUCCAAAUCAGCCCCUUACGAAGCAACGCAUAAACUGGGGUUUAAGCUUCUGUCACUCUAGCAACCCAUCAUCUACUUACUACUUCCCAAUGCCUUCCUCUAGGCCCAAAUAAUGGUGAAGUGUUAUGUAGUCGACGUUCACAUAACACCACUAGAGGAAAAACAACAUACAACACAUCAAAAUAUCGAACGAAUAUUAAAUUCACAUGACUACUAUUAGCAUGACUUAUCCCAUGUCCUCAGGAACAAAAGUAACUACUCACAAAGCAUAAUUAUAUUCAUGACCAGAGAGGUAAUGAGUAGCAUCAAGGAUCUGAACAUAAACUCUUUCACCAAGUAAUCCAACUAGCAUCAACUACAAAGAGUAAUCAACACUACUAGCAACCUUACAAGUACCAAUCGGAGUCGCGAGACGGAGAUUGGUUACAAGUGAUGAACUAGGGUUUGGAGAUGAGAUGGCGCUGAUGAAGAUGUUGAUGGUGACAAGUCCCCUCCAAUGAGAGGAGUGUUGGUGAUGAUGAUGGCGACGAUUUCCCUCUCCGGGAGGGAAGUUUCCCCGGCACGAUCGUCCUGCCGGAGCUCUAGAUUGGUUCUGCUCAAGUUCCGCCUCGUGGCGGCGGCGAAUCCACGAAAAAUCUCCUCCCUGAUUUUUUCCUGGACGAAACCCUUCAUAUAGCAAAAGAGGGGGGCCAGUGGGCCAGCAGGCUGCCCACAAGCCCUCAUGGCGCGGUAUUGGGGCUGGCCGCGUCGUGCAAGCUUGUGGCCACCUUCUCGCGCCCCUUUGGCGCUUCUUCGGCCAAGUAUUUUUUAUAAAUCCGGAAAAAAAUCCUCGUUGAUUUUUACGGUGUUUGGACUUGCGCAGAAUAGGUAUCUCAACUUUGCUCCACUCUCAGGCCAGAAUUCCAGUUGCCGGCAUUCUCCCUCUUAUGUAAACCUUGCAAAAUAAGAGAGAAAAGGCAUAAGUAUUGUACCGUGAUGUGAAAUAACAGUCCAAGAAGCGAUAAAUAUCAACAUGAAAACAUGAUGCAAAAUGGAGGUAUCACAUGCUCGCAUGAUACCAAGGCAUGGAAGCUAGUCUCCUUCUCCCUCCCGCACAACGGACAACCAUCCGAGGUAGAAACGUUCCUAUAUUUUUUGCACUCAUUUGUUGCAAGACCUCCAAAGACAGCCUUCCAAGCCAUGAUUCUCAUUUCUAGAGGAAUUUGUGCACUCCAAAUUCGCUUCCAAAUAGGUCGUUGACCUGACGGGUGACUGGUAGAAGACCCAGCCCCAAACGAUGACUAAACCUCCAUCGCAAGACGAUAGGCGCUUCUAACAGAGAAUUGUCCACUUCUUUCCGGGAACAAAGCAAUAAAAUACUACGUGUUACGACGUGAGAUUUGAAUCUUCAUAAUUUCACGGACAUCCAGGUCCCAAAAAUACUCCCUUAGCCUUUGCUCAUUCCAUGCAACAUGUUCAUUCAAGAAGUGAGCCACCCAAUUGAAUCGACAGUUGCCUUUUGGAGUGACCGGCCGUAAGUUAUGCCCGCGCGGAAUCCAAGCAUCUCUCUAAGUCUUGAUUAAGGUACCAUCACCGACACACCAAAUAAUUCCUUUUUUGAGAAGUUCAAGUCCGUGGACAAUCCCUUUCCAUACUGCUGAAGAAUUAGAGGAAAAAACAGUGUCCAACAAGUUCCCACGUGGAUAGUAUUUAGCUUUCAGUAAGCGGGCGCACAGGCUGUCUUGUUAAUCUAGCAGUCGCCAGGCUUGCUUGGAUAACAAGGCCUGGUUGAAAGCCCGCAUGUCUCCAAAUCCCAUGCCCCCAUAGAUUUGGGUAGCGUCAUCUUCUCCCAGCUUAGCCACGCCAUCUUCCUCUUACUAUUCUCCACACCCCACCAGUAUUGCCUCAUCAUUUUUGUUAGAUCAUCACAUACUAAUGGAGGCAGUCGGAACAUGCUCAUGACAUAGGUUGGAAUUGCUUGCGCCACAGCCUUAAUCAGGAUAUCUUUGUUCCUAGAAGACACAUAUUGUUCACUCCAGUCAACAAGCCUUUUUUUAAUCUCUCCUGAAGGGUCUCAAAUUGCCCCUUAUCCAUUCUCCCUUCUGGCACAGGUAAGCCUAAGUACUUUGGUUCGAACACCUGUUGUGUAAUCUCAAGGAUGCCUUUGACCUCGGCAGCCACUAACUCAUUACAAUUCUUUGAAAAAAGAAUGGAACUUUUCACGGGGUUUAUAAGUCGACCCGUCGCCGAAGCAUAAGUGUUCAACAAACCUUUGAUAAUGCCCGCUUGCUGGGACGAAGCUUCAAAAGGCAACAUUGUAUCAUCCGCAAAAAGAAGGUGAGAUAUAACCGGUGCACCUCGACAUAUACUUACUCCCUCCAGGUUCCCAUUAGUCACUGAUUUAGACAGGAGAGCAAAUAAAGCAUCAGCAACAAAUAGGAAUAAGAGCGGGGACAAUGGGUCACCUUGUUGAAGACUCCUAGAAGGUGUGAAAGCAUGAAGUAAUUUCCCAUUAGAUUUUACAGAAUAUCUAACACACCUACACAAGUCAUAAUCCAUGCAAUCCACUCACUAGAGAAGCCCCAUUUACCUAGAGCCUGCUCCAGAAAAUUCCAGUCUAUAUGAUCAUACGCCUUCGAAAGAUCAAGCUUGUAAGAACAUGCAGCCUCACCAUUAUUUUUCAAAGACUGAAUGUGGUGGAUGCAUUCAAAGGCAAUGAUCGAGUUAUCCGAGAUGAGCCACCCUAGAAUAAAAGCACUUUGGUUUUCAGAAAUCAGGUCCAUGAGCAACGGUCGAAGACGAUUAACCAAGCACUUAGACACAAUCUUAUAGAUUACAUAGCACAAACUGAUUGGCCUAAAAUUCUUCAACUCCUUAGGGUGGGGAAUUUUCAGGAUUAGAACAAUCUCGUAUCAUUUACACCGUCCAACAUUAAGCCCGUUAUGAAGAACUCGAGAACAACAACAAUGAUUUUAGCUUUGAGAGCAGACCAAUUACGUUGGUAAAACCUAGCAGGGAACCCAUCUGUACCGGGGGGCUUUCAAAGGACCAAUCUGGAAAAGUGCAUCUGAAAAUUCUUCUUUUGAGAAUGGAGCACAUAAGAUAUCGUUCAUAUGCGAAGUUACCUUCGACAAAAUACCCUCAAGCACAACCUCCGGUGAUAAGGUCGGGUCUUUCGUAUAUACCUCUUUACAGUAGGAGGUAGCCAUAUGCUCCAUCUCAGUUGGUGCAGAAUACCAAGAGCCAUCGGCACGAAUAUAGUUCCAGCGUGCCCGCCAUAAUGCACGCUCGUGGAGAUAACCAGUGUUUCGCUCACCUUGCUUCAACCAUGUGAUAUGUGACCUUUGAAUCCACAUCAUCUCCUCUCGGUAUAGGAGCUCGUCAAGCUGACUCAUUUUUUGUCUAAUCAUGGCCCUAUUAGCAUCCUGCAGCUGUAAAUCAGCCUAUUCAGAUCCCAACUUCUCUAGUUAGAUCGUAAGAUGGCCAAAGUUCUCUUUGCUCCAUAACCACAACUUAUUCAUCAUUUCAUGUAAUGCCUCGCGGACAACCCCAAGGUUGCCGGCGGGUUUACUCCUAGCCACCACGUUGGUUAGUGCAGGAUGUCGUUCCCAUAUAGUUUCGUACCUAGGCGAGGCUCUAGUCUCACUCGGUUCCACCAGAGAGAGAUGAAUCAACACACAACUAUGAUCUGAGCAAGACGAAGCCAAAUGAAGAAUCUAUGUGAAUGGAAAGAGGUCCCUCCGAGCUUCAUCAAUACAGGCUCUGUCUAGACAAACUCGGACAUUUCUAUCUCCCACUUGGCCGUUGUCAUAAGUAAAUGGAGCCCCACAGAAACCUAGGUCCAAUAGCUCACAUGAUAUUAGACAGUCUCGAAACAACAACAUCUAAUUUUCUGGACAUUGGGAUCGAGAAAAGUGCUCGUGCCAUCACAUUACCUCAUUGAAGUCACCGCGCACUAACCAUGGAUCCGAUGUAGAGGUACGUAGCUGAGAAAGAGUACACCACAUGCGAUGACGGUUCUUCACACGCAGUUUUUGAUACACAAAAGUUGUCCUCCAUGCCUUGUCAUUUGCAACAUCCACAAUAUACACGUCAAUAUACCGUGCACAAGAGUCCAAAACUGUUACUUGAAGCUUUUGAUCCCAACAUAGUGCAAGCCCACCGUUUAGCCCAUCACUUGACACACCCGCAAAACCCUUCAUAUGUAAUCUCCACUUGAGAUUCUCCAUCAUUGCCGAGGCUUGUCUUGUUUCUCAUAGAAAAACUAGAACCGGGGAAUUGGCUUUAGAGAGGGCCAAAACCUAGCAAACUGUUUGGCGGUUCCCCUCGGUAGUUUCAACUAUCAGAUUCAUUGUGCCCGGCGGUGCUCCUCGAAGGAGGCCGUCGAUAUUUCUUCAGAUGCACCAUCAGACUCAACACGGGAUCUCUUACUAUUGUUGCUGCUAGUUGGUGAAUUAGGUUCGGAAUCAACCUCAGCAUUGCCUUGGGUAAUAGCCAAGACGCCCUUCAGAGUGCUCAGCACUUCUCCCGUCCUCGGGACCUCCUUUUCCACUGUCAACCUUUUCCUAGGUGAAGGAUCCACCUGCAUAUGUUCACGGCCAGAUUUUAAUGGGAUUGAAGUAGUAUCCAAGUCAUCUGGGUCUGCAACAACUUUUCCUGUCGUGUCUGUCUGUGGCGGAUGCGAAACAGACUCCUUGUGACCACUCCCAUGACUAAAAGCUUUAUUAUAUUGAGGUUUAUUAAGCCCAUCUUCAUAAAGCCAUGCACCAUACUUCUUGUCCUUCUCCUCAUGUAUGCCUAUGCCGCAUUUCUUACAAUCAUGCCCAAUCAGUUCACUGAUGGCGAGUUGAUGGAUGUACUUCUCGCCCCUCAUUGGUUACCCCAAGUGAAAGGUGGAGAUGUAGUCAGGAGCAGAUUUUCCUUACAUGGAGACUGUAAGGUUUAUCGAACCAGGAGGACUCCUAGGCUCAACAAGUAGGUUUCUUCCACCCUGGCGCUAGCAGAAGACUUGGACCUGCACACACAACAAAUAACUUUGCUCCCAACGAGUACAAAGAGGUUAUCAAUCUCCCCGACCUUCUAGUUUGCAAAGGAUCAAAACUCAAGCGGGAAGGUAGCAGUGAUUGCUUCGGAAAAGUAAAUGAAACUGGUAAAUGAUGGAGGUGUAAAUAAUGAUGGUGAUAUGGACCGGAGUCACAUGAUGUUCGCUAGUGAUGUCUCUCUCCCAAAAGACGAUAAACAACUAUGCUUGGGUAAACAAAUCACAGUUGGGCAAUUGACAUAAUUAUGAUCGCACUGCAAUGCUAAUUAUGAUACUUCAUAGUUAGAGGUUCAAUAGUAAUGGGCAGUACGCCAAGACAAGUAGACCGUUUAUUCAUCAGCAUCUACUUACUAAUCAGCCACCUUGAGAUAUCUAUUCAGAACAUGACUCCGGUAUUAAGUUGCGAGCCCCACCCAAAGUGUAAACUCAAAGCAACGGACAACUACAUUAACGAACUAUGUGUAAGGUAAACAAUCCUUGCAACCGUGGUCACAAGCACCGUUUUUUUUCCCUGGUGGCAACAACCACAUCCCCUAGUCUCAUGUUUCUGUCACUCAAGCUAGACAUCGAGGGGCAUGAACCCACAAUCAUGCAUAACGCUCCCUCUUGGAGUUACAAUCUACUACUUGGCCAAAGCAAUAAAAAGCAACGGAGAACAUGCAUGAAUCACUAAGGAACAUAAUAUAAAAGGAUAAUCAAAUAUAUAACUCAUAACAAUCUGAGCAUAAUCUCAUAAUCCAUCGGAUACCAACAAACCGAGCAUAGCAAUAGCAAGAGAAUUACAUAGAUGCAUUGAUCGUGUAGGGCAGCUCACAAGGACUAACCAUUGAAGCACAAUAUUGAAGAGAAGACAUCACAUAGCUACUGGUCAUGGACUCAUGGUCCAAGGAGGACUACUCAUGGCACGUCCAAUAAGCGUCCAUGGCGGUGGAGAAGCUCCCGGAGGUCAAUCCUCCCUCCGGCAGGGUUCCGGGAAGAGGUCUCCUAACACUGCCGAUCCUGGAAGCGCUCCGGCGGUGGAACGAUGGAGAAAUUCGCAAUUCCAGAAAGUCUGCGAGGGUGUCCUCUCGGGACUCUAAAUAUAGGCCAAAGGAGGGCACCGGAGGAGGUAGGACCGACCCACGCGACCUCCUGGAGCAGCUUCGGUGAUCCGGAAGCUUCCGUUUCGCUGAUUUUUUUAUAUAAUUUUUCUGGAUUUUUUCGGGCUUCGGAAAAUUGGGUAAAAGCCCGUACAAAAUAGACAUCAAUAGACAUAAACUGGCACUGGAUGCACUGAGUUAGUAGGUUAGUCCAAAUAUGUGUAAAAUGAUAUAAAAGUGAAGCAAAACAUAUAACAUUGUCACCCAAAAGAUCAUGGAACAAGCAGAAAUUAUAGAUACGUUUGGAACGUAUCAUCCACACAAACUACAGAACAGCGCCAACUUCUCAUACCGCACCAAGAACACUUGGCGCUCUUUUCCCCUGACGUUGCUGACAAAUUUGGUGAGGGGUAAACGAACAUCAUGGCGAACCCUAAUUCUGACAUAGUCACAUUGGGUAUUCCCGUUCAAUCUCAUCUCCACAAUCUCUCCUGAAUUUUGAAGUAGCAGUUCCACUAUAUUCUUCUUACAAAAACCAUUCGUCGGUUUGUGGAUUUGGAGCCAGAUCGGCAUCAACACCAUCGACACCGCUUCUGCCUUUGUGAACCAUCAUAUGGGCACAUCAACACUAGCCAAUUCCUGGAUAGCCAUGGCCCCUGAUCCAUCAUAUGCUCCCAAUCUCCCAGGCAUGAAGCGUGCACACCAAAUAAAUUCGGGCCAACCGGACGAAACCUAACUUUCUACGCACGAUUCCAUGCGGCACGCAUAUCUUUGUAGAGCGCAGCUUGGCUGAAUGAUUUUUACAUGUGUACCCUAGCUAGGGCAAGCCAUCUCACGCUAUCAUUGAUCUCAUGAUCAGCAUCAUCAAUCACGAGAUCAUCGAAGAUUUCAUCCUCAAGGUUAAGCUACCCGAGAACAUCGCCAAGAUCCGGAGUCCAGGCGGAGCCACCGCCACCGCUGGUCCCAGAUUGGACGUCCUCAAGGUUAUCCAUCGCCUCCUGACUAUGCGAGGGAAGCUAUGCCAAAGUUAUCGAAGCUCUCACACCACGGGAGGCGGACCCGAUCGGAAGAAGGACUCACUGGCGAUGGAAUCGCCACACAGGAUAGGAAACCCUAACUGUGAGGAAGGGGAAGGUGACACGUAUUCUUAGGGUAACGUUCCUUCUCUUUGUGACCAAAUCACAACCGAGUAAUAAAUAUAUAAAAAUGGUUCUCGUUCCAUGCUAAGCUAGGAUGUUUGAAAACAUGAAUUUCAUUUCAAAUUGUGAUUGUGAUCCUAGAGUUUAUAAUUGAAUCUCGGACAUAAAGACGACCGGCCAACGGCGAUCCAGUGUGCUCUCUCCGGGUUGAAAUAGGUUUGUAUGAAUGAUGGAGGAUUAUAUAUUUACAUUGCAUUGUUUUUUUAUUUACAAAAUAAAAGCUUUGUGGAUUUUAGGAUUGGGUCAUCAAAUUUGUAUGGGAUCCAUUCUUCUCCUUUUUUAGAAGAUCAAGGUCCUAGAUUAAAAUGCUUUACAUGGCCAUCCUUACAUGUCAUGUCUAUGUCUAAUAUAGAUGGUCAUAGCUAUGACUAGGUGCCACAUCAUCAGUUUUGCCUACGUGUCAUGUCUAUGUGCCAAUUUUGCCCUAGUUUGUGAAGCAACCUACUAUUCUGUCAUUCCAAAAAUUCUCCAAAAGUUCUCAGAAAUCCUUUGGAUCAUAUAUUCCUCAAAUAUGUGAAAACCCUUCCUUCCAUAGUUCAAAAAUAAUUCUACAAUAUUCUUUUCCUAUUCUGUUGAGAUUAGCACUUUGUGAAGGAAGUGAUAUUUCAAUUUUUUUUGAUUGCCCUCAAAUUUUUGGUCACUCUUGCUUAUCGAAAUCAUCGUCUCCUGAAAGUUUCAUGUCCAUUUGCCUAGUAAAUCUUUCUUAGCAAAUUUCCAAAGUUUGUGUUCAGCUAACAACUUUGUGAAGGAAGUACGAGCUAGGAUUAUCCUAGUGAGUUGAAUUUUUGCCACAUCUUCUAUAUGCCAAAUCCAUAGCUCUCUAGAAAAUUUUAGCCCCAUCUAACAAUCCAUGUGAGCUAAUCACACAAUCUUUGUUUCUGGUAAUAUUUUGAGUUUGUGAAGCAACUACAUUUUAUAUUGCUUUAUAAUUGAUGAAAAAUUAGCAUGGCAUGAACCAUAGAACCUCCCUCCACCAAUUUUUAGCUCAUUUAAUUUAGCCAGCUCCCUCAAUAUGUUUCCCAAUGUUCUGUUCAGUGGAGAGCAUUGUGAAGGAAGUGCAAUUUUUAUUUAUCCAAAUUUUAUGAAAUUUUUAUAGUGUCUUAAUGUGCUCAAGUUAUCAUUCUCCUCCAAAUUUCAGCUAAAUACAAUCAUAUAUGUGAUUCCAGUUGCAAUUACCAUUUUUUGUCGAGAUUAGCACAUUGCGAAGGAAGUGUCAUUUUGGCAUGUCCAAAUGGUAUAAUUAUUUUACAAUUCCUUCAUAUGCCCAAAUGAACAUCAUCCACCAAAUUUCAGCUCAAUUCAUUCAUUCAUUUGAUCCUAGCAUCAACAUCCAUAUUUCUGCACAGUGUGGUACUUUACAAAGCAAGUGCCACCUAAAAUCAUCCAUUUGAGCUAAAAAAUCCAAGAGAGUCUCCUUAGUAGGUGAUCAUCCUCAGCAAAAAUUUAGGCCCAUUGUCCAUGUGCAUUCCCCCCACCGCUAAUCAAACACUUGGGUGCUAAUUCAUGUUUGAGCUUACUUCUUUCUACUCGUGAGAUUUUUUUAUUGUAUUCUUCUUCCUAACACCUACCCAGGGACUGUCCAACCCACCAGACAUGCCUAGUCCACCCAGAACGCGUGGCAACUCCAUGAUCAGGCGGUGACCACGCGUCUGGCAUGCUAGUUUACACGCUAUGGAGUUGUGGCCCUCGCCCACCAUCCAAACCUCGACGUCUCCCCCACCACACANNNNNNNNNNNNNNNNNNNNNNNNNNNNNNNNNNNNNNNNNNNNNNNNNNNNNNNNNNNNNNNNNNNNNNNNNNNNNNNNNNNNNNNNNNNNNNNNNNNNUCCGGGAGUUCACCGGGGCGGGGAGGGCAACCCACCCCGGGGAAGCCCAUAGGACUUGAGGGUGGCACACCAGCCCUUAGUGGGCUGGUUGGACAGCCCAAAAGGGCUCUAUGCGCCAAGAAGAGAAAAUCAAGAGAAAAAAAAUGGAGGAGGUGGGAAGGAAGGGGGACUCCCUCCCACCAAACCAAGUCCAACUCGGUUUGGGGGGAGAGUCCUCCCCCCUUGGACUCGGCCGACCCCCUUGGGGCUCCNNNNNNNNNNNNNNNNNNNNNNNNNNNNNNNNNNNNNNNNNNNNNNNNNNNNNNNNNNNNNNNNNNNNNNNNNNNNNNNNNNNNNNNNNNNNNNNNNNNNNNNNNNNNNNNNNNNNNNNNNNNNNNNNNNNNNNNNNNNNNNNNNNNNNNNNNNNNNNNNNNNNNNNNNNNNNNNNNNNNNNNNNNNNNNNNNNNNNNNNNNNNNNNNNNNNNNNNNNNNNNNNNNNNNNNNNNNNNNNNNNNNNNNNNNNNNNNNNNNNNNNNNNNNNNNNNNNNNNNNNNNNNNNNNNNNNNNNNNNNNNNNNNNNNNNNNNNNNNNNNNNNNNNNNNNNNNNNNNNNNNNNNNNNNNNNNNNNNNNNNNNNNNNNNNNNNNNNNNNNNNNNNNNNNNNNNNNNNNNNNNNNNNNNNNNNNNNNNNNNNNNNNNNNNNNNNNNNNNNNNNNNNNNNNNNNNNNNNNNNNNNNNNNNNNNNNNNNNNNNNNAAAUUUUUGUUUCCCAUGCGACGUUCCCCAACAGCCAUUGCAUUAGUUGCAUCGGUUUGAGUUCUCCACGGUGAUACGUGGAAGUGAAGUUUGAGAAGCUUAUUACCUUUGGUACUUAGUACCCUAGAUAUUGUUCUUCGUGGAUGCUUUGGCGUCCUAGAAGCUUGGUGUUGUCUCGAAGCUCAAUUAUUGUGGUGUAAAGCUCCGAGCAAGCGUAGGGGUCUCCAAUUAGGUUGUGGAGAUUGCCCCGAGCAAUUUGUACGGGUACCGGUGAUGGGGUUAUAGUCCUAGGGUAGGGUCAUAGGCCUGCCCUAUAGGUCCUACCCAAGGACUACCCUUCAUAAGGGACAAGGCCCUUAGUCAGUUNNNNNNNNNNNNNNNNNNNNNNNNNNNNNNNNNNNNNNNNNNNNNNNNNNNNNNNNNNNNNNNNNNNNNNNNNNNNNNNNNNNNNNNNNNNNNNNNNNNNAACUUUUGCAUAUUAAAAAAUAGGUAUUUUGAAUAUAAAUGCUGACGAAUUUUUAUUUUGAAUUAAAAAUAGGAUUCAAGAAAGCGCCGGAUUUUUAUAUUUUUUUGCAAAUUCCAAAACAAUGUCCAUGAAUUUAAUAAAUAUAUUACUGACUUANAAAAAUGUUGGUUUAUUCAAAAAAACUUCAUGCGUUUCAAAAAAUGUUUGUGAAUUUAAAAUAAAAUCCUCCAACAGAAAAAAUUAUGUUCGUCUUUUCUUGAGUUGGUCGCCAAUUCAAAAGAAAAUAUUUAAACUCGUUCGAAAUAUAAAAAAUAUUCACGAUUUUUAGUAAAUGUUUGUAAAUGAUAAAAAAUGUUCUCAAUUUUAAAAUUGUUUCCAUAUUUGUAAAAUUGUUCAUGAAUGAUCUAAUGUAUGUAGUUAAACAUUAAUGCUUCUAAAUCUUUGUGACAAUAUACCUGUGUGAAUUUUGAAGAAUUAACUGUUGGAUGGAUCGGAUUAUUAUUGUAUGUUUUUUAAAAAAAAUUCUUGAAAUUCAGAAUAAAUCUUUGGGUUACCAAGAUUUUUGACAACCAUGAUAUAUAUUUUUUGAAAAUGUAAAGAUUGCUUUAACUUGUUAAUAAAUUUAAAAAAAGAAACAUUUUCUUGCAUUUGUACAUAAAUUUUUUAAAUCAAGCGAUGAUAUGCGAACGUAAUAUGGUCACCAUCAUUGAAGAUUUUGUUUUUUUCUUCCGUGGCAACGCACGGACCAUUUUGCUAGUUAUGAAUAAAGAAAGUAUAAUCUAAUGCACAUGAUAACUCAGACCCAUUAUGCAAAUAGUAGUGCAACAGAAAUACUUUCUCCGUUUCUAAAUGAAGUCUAACUUUUUUCUACUACGUACUACAUACUAAACAAAAUGAAUGAAUCUUCACCUUAAAAUAUGUCUGUAUACAUAUGUAUGUAGUUCGUAGUGUAAUCUUUAAAAUAAUCUACAAUGGGACUUAGCAAAAAUAACCCCUACACACCCACGAACGCAUCCGGUCUGUGACUGAGCGUGUAUGUUUUGAACCCUUACAUUUUUCGUCCGUGUAGCUGCAUUUUUUUUUCAUAUGUCCGGUGACUUCAACUUGAUUGAUGGAAAAGAAGUGAGAGAAAGAAAAUUGAAUAAGGAAAAAGAAAAUAUGGUCUAGGAUGGGGCCAAGUUAUACUGACGCGUCCGUGAGCUCUUAUAUCAUCUCUUAAUUUAAGAUGAAUUUGAGAAGUACCGGCGAGUCAAACAUUUAGAAAGGAAAUGAAGGGUCUGAUUAAAUCAUUUUUUUAGUGGAAGCAAAGGCGGAGCUUUAGCCUAAUAUGUGUGUGUGUGUGUGUGGGUGGGGGGNGGGGGGGGGGAGGGACAUAACUAUUACAGCAGUUUUCACGGAGAAAUAGGCCUAAUACAAAGCAAUAUAUAUAAAUUUCUUGUGAGCUGAGGGAGCCAUGGCCAGGUUGGCCCAUGAAGUUUCACUGAGUGGGAGGGCAUGCAUUUCAAAAGCUUGUGGAGGAUAUAUGGGUCCUGUAGAUGNNNNNNNNNNNNNNNNNNNNNNNNNNNNNNNNNNNNNNNNNNNNNNNNNNNNNNNNNNNNNNNNNNNNNNNNNNNNNNNNNNNNNNNNNNNNNNNNNNNNCACCCAGUUACGUUGCGAUGUUUGAUACACACAAAGCAUUCCUCCGGUGUCAGUGAGUUAUAUGAUCUCAUGGUCAUAGGAAUAAAUACUUGACAGCAGAAAACAGUAGCAACAAAAUGACACGAUCAACAUGCUACGUCUAUUAGUUUGGGUCUAGUCCAUCACUUGAUUCUCCUAAUGACGUGAUCCAUUUAUCAAGCAACAACACCUUGUUCAUAAUCAGAAGACACUGACUAUCUUUGAUCAACUGGCUAGCCAACUAGAGGCUUGCUAGGGACGGUGUUUUGUCUAUGUAUCCACACAUGUAAAUGAGUCUUCAUUCAAUACAAUUAUAGCAUGGAUAAUAAACGAUUAUCUUGAUAGAGGAAUUAUAAUAAUAACUAUAUUUAUUAUUGCCUCUAGGGCAUAAUUCCAACAAUGGCAAGGGCACACGGAGUGCCCAAGUCCUUCUCUCCCAAAUCCCACCGGAGGAACUAAUGCUAGGGAGGAAAAUGAGAGGAAGAACAAAGAAGAACACGAAGAACUCCAAGAUCUAGACCCAAGGGGUUCCCCUCACUUAGAGGAGAAAGUGAUUGGUGGAAAUGUGGAUCUAGAUCUCUUCUCUCUUAUCCCUCAAGAACUAGCAAGAAUCAUUGGAGGAUUGAGAGUUAGCAAGCUCGAAUAAGGUUAACAAUGGGGGAAGAACACGAGCUAAAGAGAUAAGGUUCAAUGGGGAAGAAGACCCCCUUUUAUAGGAGGGGAAAAAUCCAACCGUAAGCCUCACACCCCGCACAAAGUGGUACUACCGCUCAUGGGAGCGGUACUACCGCUCGGUAGGUUCACCAACCAUGCCGAGGCCACGAAAAACAGUCCGACGGAGCGGUACUACCGCUAGGGAGAGGUAGUAAAAAAUUACUACCGCUCCGGGGCGGUACUAACUCUCCGGGGGCGGUAGUACCGCUACACGAGCAGUACUACCGCUCGCACCACGAGCGGUACUACCGAUUGAUAAUGAAACUGUUGUAACUUUCGCAUACGAACUCCGAAUUCAACGAAUCAAAAUUUGUUGGAAAGCUAAUGACAUGGGCUAACACAAUAUUGAUAGAAAUAUCAAUAAGAAGCAAGUGACAAAAGUCCCAUAAGAAAAUGGUGAGAACCCUUCUUCGAAUAAGACCGGUAAAAACUCCCAACAUCGAAAACAUCAUAGAAGGUGCAUAUGGACUCCGUUUUCGAUGAACUCGAGCGUGUCAUGAAGAUGACCAUAAGCUCCAAAACUCACAAAGAGAAAUAGCAAACAAGAACCAAGAAGUAUGAUGCAACGAUGCAAAUGGUUUGAACUCUCAACGAACGAUACGAUCAAGCUACUCACUUGAGAGCCCCCCUUGACAGUACGACAAUCUAUCCUAAAACAGAAAGCCCAUCAAGGGAAAACCUAUACCUUGCACCUCGUCCUCUUGAGAUAGAUGACGAUGAUCUUGGCUUCCUCAAGAUGGACCACCUUUCUUGAUUGCGUUAGCUUGAUGAAGACUAGUUGAUUGCUCCCCCAUAGACACUAUGGGUGAGCCGCUCUUCAGCAUAUCUUCACAAGUCCAUUGCCACCAUUCUCCACCACUUGACGUCAUCCUCCAUGGGUUGGUAUGAGAUCUUCCUCUUGACGCAAGCCCAUAGAAACACACCUAACCCCACAUAGAACUCUCACGAAGACCAUGGGUUGGUACACAAAUACGUAAUGGACAAUGCUUACCAUACCAUGGGAUCACUUGAUCCCUCUCAGUACAUCUUGUACGCUUUGUGUGUUGAUCAUCUUGAUUUACUCUUUGUCUGACGAUCUUGAUCAACCUUGUGUCUCUAUGACCAUUCUUUGGAUAAUACCUUGAAUACCACCUUGGUCAUCAUAUAAACUCCUUGAACCCAACAGAUGGACUUCAAGAAGUGCCUAUGGACAAAUCCUAUAAAUAUAACUUAAGGAAAUCAUUAGUCCGUAGGAAUUGUCAUCAACUAUCAAAACCACAUAUGGAGAUAUAUGCUCUAACAACGGUGAUGGGAUUGGAUGAGAUUUGUCAUGUAAUCAAGUUAUUUUUAUAUUGCCUGAUCCCGAGUAUCCACUAUGUUAUGAGAUUGAUCUUUCUAUGACUUUGAUAUGCUUAAUGCUUGUCACUAGGCCCCGAGUGCCAUGAUUUCAGAUCCGAACCUUUUAUGUUUGCAUGAAAAUGAGAGUGAUUUGGUCCUAACUUUCAAGUUGUAUGCACCUAUUAUGUGUCAUGAUCCGCAUACCCCACGGGGACAAUAAUUGAAAAAAUUUCCGGUAAUUACCGUAGUUUAAGGAAUUCAUGUAUUGACUAUGUGUUAAUGUUUUGUUACGGUUCUCUAUUAAAAAGAGGUCUUAAUAUCCCUUAGUUUCCUUAUGGGCCCCGCAGGCACGAGAGAGUAGGACAAAAGAUGCCAUGCAAGUCCUAUAUAAGCACAUAUGACUAUAUACAUAAUACGUGUCUACAUUACAUUGAUGAAUUGAAGCUAGUUCUAUAUCGCUCAAGUAUGUCACUGUUACAUAACGAAUGUUAUCCAUUAUACUUAUCCAUCACCGAUCGAAAUGCCUAUACUUUUCAUAUACUGAAUCUUGCUAACAUACUAUUGGUGCUUCUACCGUUACAAUCACUAUAAAAUUGUUGUUGUUACUGUUACCGUUAGUAGUACAAUUUUGAUGUGCUAUUAAAACUUUUGCUAUAGAGAGAUAUCGCAGGUGUGGUUGAAUUGACAACUCAAUUGUUAAGACCAAUAAAUAUUCUUUCUCUCCUCUUGUGUGUCAAUCAAAAUUAAGGUGUAAUACUAUUCGUGAAGACUGUUGCAAUCCCUACACUUGUGGGUUAUCAGCCCCUAUCCUUGUCGCAGCUCCGGCGGUCGAGUUGUCCAACCCCGACCGCCUAAUUUUAGCGCGUAUAGCAAUCGGAUUUGGAGCGGAUCUUGCCGGAUUUGAGCUCACCCGACUGCGGGAGGCCGCGCCAUGUCAUGGACUAGCCGGGUUCCAAACCGCACAGCCCUGGAAAUGCGUUGAUGCCACAUGUAGGUAUUGACUCCGUCUCUAGCCGUUUGGAUCUAGCUCUUCAUCGGUCCACUGACAGAUACAUCAACGGCCGUAGUCCGGGCUCGAUGCUGGCCCAAAUGUUCAUCGGCUCAUCGUUGCCGCUCGUAAAGUGCAUGACUGUCUAGUGAAGGUUGUGUGCCGCAUGUCUAGAACGACGGAACAUCCCAGAUGGGUGUUCGUCAAGUGCGAAAACAAUGGGGUAUGUGCUACCUUGCUUCGGCCGUGCUUCCGGAUUCGGUGCAUUUUACUUAUACUAAAAAAUUGUUGUGUACGAAGGAUGCAACUUUUGAUAUUGGGAAAAAUAAAAAAUCGGUCUAUUGAUAGAACAAAAUUUGAUAUAUGUUCGUGCACUUCUUGCUUGAACAGAGGCAAAAAAUAAAAUAAGAUACGAAGAAGCACCAUUUAAUUCUUUAGACUCGAAGAACAAAGAAGCGUGCAAGAUCGAUAAUCCGCAUAUCAACAAUGAAAGCAUUGAGAAGAUACUAUUCAGCUUGCGGGAGCAGUUAUGAAAGUUAAUAUUUUUAAAAUGUCUUCUUAUAAUUCUUGUUUUCUUCGGUCUUACUACUCUAACCAAGAUUUGAUGAAGGUAAUUCAAUGUAUCAAAAAAAAUUGUUGAUGAAAAUAUUAAGAAAUGCAGCGAAAAAAUGUGUGCGGACGAGAUGCGUCCGCGUGUUGAACCCACGGUCGGUGCAUUCAGAAAGCUGGACAGACUCCGCUCUAUUAUCUUCUCUAAAUGGACGAAAUCCGAACAAAAUGGACAUUCGUUUGAAGUUGUCUGUUGGAGUUUCCCUAAAUCAUAGCUGUUGAUCAUCCAAACACAUCUUCUUCUUUUGCAAUGUAUGCACGGGUAUAGCAGAGUAGAGCAUGGUAGAUGGAGAGGAAAGAUAGUCCAAAUACAUCUUGCUUGUUUGCAAAUCUCUUAAAAUAGGCUUUCGUCCCGCUAUAUAUCCAUAGCAACCAUACAAUACAACAUGAAACCACUGCUGGGGUAAAUAGCACAUACACACCCAAAAAAAAGAUGAAACAAUGCCAACACCCGCGGAUUAACAAAUCAACAAUGGCUCGCAACCGCUUCGUCCCCUCGGGAGUAUUCCAUCACGAUCCAAGCACUCUAAUUCAUCAUGUACCAAGCAGCACCUUUAAGAAGUAUAGUGACGAUGACCACAUUGCUACCUGGACAUGUCUUAGAGUUUUCCCCGGUACGCUCCGAGUGGGGAGGAGGUACACCAGACACACUUCAUGAAGGAAGGGUGAUACUCUCCAGUAUCACCAUGUCGGUGUCGAAUGACAAGGAUUUCUCCCGACACCCAAAACACCACCUCCCGGACAAUGAGAGGCGCUCCACCAAGCAUGCCAUCCACCAAGCCACCACGGUCUUGCAGUCACCAUUAUCGUCUCACCAUAGCACACGCAGCAAGGCCGGUCAGUCUGAGGCGAAUCACCCAUAGACAAGGUCCGACAGGAGGACAACCACGCAAGAGGGAACCACCUGCACCAUCCAAGAUGGUUGCCGUCCGUACACGACGACGAGAGCACACCGAGCCAUUGGAACCGGAGGGCCGGUGCAGGACGUCCUCCGGGUGGCUGCGCUACUGCACGUAGGCUGCCGUCGCCGCUACCCUCAUGAGAAAUCCAAAAGCUCAGUCGGGCAUGGACAAGCCCGUGAAGCUCCCAUCGCCACGCUACAACAGUGCGGCGUCAACGUUGUCAUCCCCGUAGCGAGCCGCACCGCAGUCUAACUAAAGGCAACGAGGCAGGCCGGCCUGACCCGGACCGGGCCCGAGGGGCCCAAAUUUGGGCUUGCAGGGCAAGAGCGCCACCACCGCCGCCUAGCCACCAACGACAGCACCUCCGCCACUAAGACCACCCACGCCGCACCAGGGGGAAGCCCCGCCGCCGCGCCGGUCCUCUGCCGCCGAGAAGCACCACUUGGACCCGAGCUGCCCCGCGCCACCCAAGCCAGGAGGGGGAGGGUCGGAGGUCCGCCGCCACCAGGGUCACCGACCAAGGGCCGGCGCUACACACCAACGACGACGGGAGGGAGGAGGUAAGAAGGGGGAUGGAGGCGGGAGGUGGGGGGCGCGGCCCGGCUGCCGCGACGACGGCGCGGGUCGUGAGAGCAGAGGGGAGGAGGGGUCCGCUGAACUUAGUCUUCCAUUCGAUUCAUGUGGUCUCGUUUGUUUGCAAAUUGCAAUGCUUUACACGAAAGCACAAUCAUUGUUCAUCCACCCCUUAUAUGUCCGCGUACGUAUCCGAUGAGUGACCGGGCAGGAAAGAGAAGGAAAAAAAUGAUCUAAUCAAACCCUUCAUAUAAUCACUAUAUGUUCUGGAUGUUCGUGAAUCCUUAUAUCCAUCUUAAAUAUAUUAAGAAUAUGACGGCUCGUUAACGCGCCCAGACGUGUCCGAUCAAUCUGUCACGUAGGACACGACCCUAUCCCAAACCAUUUUUUUUUCUUUUUUUUUUCUCUUCGUCUUUAUCAAUCACGUUAAGUGAUUGUACUCCCUCCGUCCCAAAAUUCUUGUCUUAGAUUUUUCUAGAUAUGGAUGCAUCUAGAUACUAAAACGUGACUAGAUACAUCCAUAUCUAGACAAAUCCAAGACAAUAAUUUUGGGACGGACAGAGUACAUAUGAAAAAUAAAAUAAAAAAAUAUAGCUGCACGAACGAACUAAUAAAGGACACGCUCAAUCACCAACUUAACAUGUACGUAGAUGUUUACGGAAUCAUAUUUGCUAUUAUGUCGGGCUGUAGAUGCUCUCGUCUCCGCAUGCACAGACAAUGAGCCGCACAUGAAGCAAAGCGAAACUGUCGUGACCCCAACAAGCAGGCAAAGGGAGAGAGAGAAGACAACUCACCCGAUCGAUCCGCAUGAUUUCCCAUUUCCCCAACCCCGAGCAGUGAGGAUGCACCCUCUGUCGACUGACUUGCCGAUCGAUUGGAAACCCGGCAAUUCCUUCCGUUCGUUAGUGUCAUCGAUUGGGCAGACAGAAAGCUACAAGGGACACGAAGAAACGAAACAAAUCACCAGUCAGUCGGUCGGUCAGCUAGCUAGCACCGCAGCAUGUGCCCCGCCGCUGUGAUCUGAUUCUGGUUGCCUUCCCGGCUUCCUCCCCGACAUCCGGCUGAGUGGUGGUUUCCAUGUGUAUGUGGCAAUCUCGUGGCCUCCUUCCUCUCCGACACCUACUCGCUCCAUGACUCGAUCGAUCGAUCCCCUCCGGCCGUUUGCGAGCGCCAAGACAUUGGCCCAUAUUCCCGUAUGCUAUACGGUCUGUAUGUCAGUGAGAGGUUCAAAGUUACGGAUAGUUUGGAUGGUUUCUCGAACGUCUUUGGAACGACCGUAGGAUUGGAGUCUAGGACCAGGCGGAGAAGACGACUUUUAAAAUCCUUUCACAUUUUGACUCGAUGAGUUGAGCCUGGCCUGACCAUGCAUGGUAAAUCCACAGCCAACGCCGACAAUUAUUCCCAAGCCAGCGCACCGCAAACCAUUUGAUACGAACACUCGUACGUGCUCGGUGCACGCUCCACAACAUUUGACCUACCCUCUCAAGUACAUGAAUCGUCGUUUGUAUAUGUGAUUGACAAAAAAGAGUUUCCUCUCAUUUUAUAUUAUAAAGCAACAACCAACCGAUACAACCGGCUCGUUGGGCCACAGUACAAAUAAGCCCAAAGGAAAAAAAGAAAGAAAGACAAGAGAAAAGCAAAGAUGGCCGACAACCGCCGCACUCUUCGGAGAAGUACCACCGCAUGUCAAGCAUUUUGAAGCCUCGCAUACCAGGCAACACCUUCAGAAAGGAAAGCGACGACGACGACGCUGUUGCCUGGACAAGUCCUAGGGUUUCCCCCUGUUAGAGCAUAUUUCUUCAUAUGUGGUUUUGGUAAUUGAUGACAAUUUCUAUGGACUAAUGGUUACCUUAAGUUAUAUUUAUAGGAUUUGUCCAUAGGCACUUUUUGAAGUCCGUCUGUUGGGUUCAAAGAGUUUAUAUGAUGACCAAAAUGGUAUUCAAGGUAUUAUCUAAAAAAUGGUCAUAGAGACACAAGGUUGAUCAAGAUCGUUAGACAAAGAGUAAAUCAAGAUGAUCAACACACAAAGCGUACAAGAUGUACCGAGGGGGAUCAAGUGAUUCCAUGGUAUGGUAAGCAUUGUCCAUUACAUGUUUGUGUACUAAUUCAUGGUCUUCGUGAGAGUUUUAUAUGAGGUUAGUUGUGUUUUCAUGGGCUUGCGUCUAGAGAAGAUCUCAUACAACCCAUGAAAUACGACAUCAAGUGGUGAUCGUCAUCAAGAUUGCGGUGUGCAAGUUCAAGUGGAUCAGCAUGAAACUAUUAUGCUUGAAGCUUGCCGUCCAUUGUGGUGUCAAUGGACUUGCGAAGAUAUGCUGAAGAGCGGCUCACCCAAGCUGUGUAUGGGGAAGCAAUCAACUAGUCUUCAUCAAAGCCAACACAAUCAAGAAGGUGGUCCAUCUUGAGGAAGCCAAGAUCAUCAUCGUCUAGCUCAAGAGGACGAGGUGCAAGGUAUAGGUUUGUCCUUGAUAUGUUUUUUCUUUUAGGAUAGAUUGUCGUACUACCAAGGGGGGCUCUCAAGUGAGUAGCUUGAUCGUAUCGUUCAUUGAGAGCUCAAACCAUUUGCAUCCUUGCAUCAUACUUCUUGGUUCUUGUUUGGUGUUUCUCUUUGUGAGUUUUAGAGCUUAUGGUCAUCUUCAUGACAAGCUCGAGUUCAUCGAAAACGGAGCACAUAUGCAUCUACUAUGAUGUUUUUGAUGUUGGAGUUUUUGUCGAUUCUUCAUUCAUAGAGGUGUCACAUCGUUGUUUGGAUAGUUCUUGUCGUCCUGAAUCCAACAAACUUCGGUUUGCUCGAUUCGGAGGUCGUAUGCGAAAGUUAUGGCUGUUUCAGUGGCGAGCGGUAGUACCGCUUGUUCCAAGCGGUAGUACCUCUCUCUGAGAGGUUGUAUUUCGUCGGACUUUUUGCGAAUAAUUUUUCAAGCGGUGGUAGGGCCGACAGUAAUAUCUUUACUACCGUGACCUAGUAGUAGUACCGCUCUUCGCCAGCGGUAGUACCGCUGUGCGCGGUCUGUAAGUGGGGGGUAACGGUCUGAUUCCUUCCCACACUAUAUAAAGGGGGUCUUCUUCCCCCUUGGACUGAUCUAUCUAUUGAGCUCGUGUUCUUCCCCCAUUGUGGACCUUCGUAGAUCUUUCUAACUCUCAAUCCCUCCAAUGAUUCUUGCUAGUUCUUGAGGGAAAAGAAAGAGGAGAUCUAGAUCCACAUAUCCACCAAUCACUUUCUCCUCUAUGUGAGAAGAACCCCUUGGAUCUAGAUCUUGGAGUUCUUUGUGAGCUCCUUGUUCUUCCUCUCAUAUUUCUCUAUAGCUUUUGUUGUUGUGGAGGGAUUUGAGUGUGAGGGACUUGACCACUUCGUGUGUUCUUGCCAUUGCAUUAGUUGCAUCGGUUUGAGUUCUCCACGGUGAUACGUGGAAGUGAGAAGUUGAGAAGCUUAUUACCCUUUAGUACUUAGUACCCUAGAGAUUGUUCUUCGUGGAUGCUUUGGCGUCCUAGAAGCUUGGUGGUGUCUCGGAGCUCAAUCAUUGUGGUGUAAAGCUUCGGGCAAGCAUCAGGGUCUCAAAUUAGGUUGUGGAGAUUGCCCCGAGCAAUUUGUACGGGUACCGGUGACUGCCUCCAAGGGUUGCCAUUUGUACGGGUUCGGUGACUGCCCUCAAGAGUCCCUUAGUGAAAUCACGACAUGUUGCAUUGUGCGAGGGCGUGAGGAGAUUAUGGUGGCUUUAGUGGCAUCUUGGUGAGCAUUGUGCCUCCACACCGCUCCAACGGAGAUAGCAUCCACAAGUGUGUGGACUUCGGGAUACAUCAUCGUAUCCGCGUGCCUCGGUUAUCUCUUACCUGAACCCUUUACUUAUGCACUUUACUUUGCGAUAGUCAUAUUGUUUAUUGUCAUAUAUCUUGCUAGAACUUAGUUUUUAAUCUUGCUUAGCAUAAGGAGUUGGUGCACAUAGGUGAGCCUAGUUGUUUUAGGUUUUGUGCUUGACAAAUUAAACGUUAGUUUUAUUCCGCAUUUGUUCAAGCCUAAACCGUAAUUAUUUUAAAGCGCCUAGUCACCCCCCUCUAGGCGACAUCCACGUCCUUUCACCCCCGGUACGCGGAUGGCAGUGAGGAAGGGGUAUCACCGACGCCCCUCAAAAAAGUUCGGCGACUCCCACGAGCCGCCAGGGAUUUCUUCCGCCCUGAAACCACCACCGUCACUCCGGACAAUCGAAAGUGCACCGCCCACAAUGCCGCCCACCAACCUGUGCCACCAAGAUCAUCGCACCAACUUCACCGUCUCACUGAGGCCACCAACACGAGACCUGGAGGGAGGACAAGGAGAUACCGGGCUCGAGGCAACCGCAACGCACCAGACUGGAGGGGAGAACCUCCAUCGCGGCGCGGAGCCGACCGGGCGUAGCAAUAAGGACUUGUCAGGCCAACAUAGGCCCGACCGGACCCCCAACAGGUCUGGACAGUCCCAACAGCCGCGCUGCAGGUAGCCGGCCACCGGAGCCAUCACUACCGCAGCCACAACCGUCUCGCCGGAUCACCAGGGAGCCACGCCGUCGCGACCCAAACCGUCGGCCCGCCCUAGCCCAGAUGGGGCCCAAAAGGGCCCAAAUGUGGGUCGAGCGGGUGCCGCCGGCUAGCCACACACCGCACCGCCGCGUCAAGGACGCCCGUGGCACGCGGGAUCUCCGCCGCCGAGCUACAUCGGCGCGGUCGAGCCGCACCGUCGCCGUCACGGGACCCUCGCGCCCCCGACACGCGUGCGGGGAAAAGCCGGCUUGUCGCUGCCAGCGCCGCACGGGCAGGGCCCGACGGACCACGCCGUCGACGACGGAUGGAGGGAAGGGAGAGACGAGGAGCUGUAGGAGUGGGGAGAUCAGGGUCCGACGUCACCAACGGGAGGGGGAGCGAAGCGAACGCGGGAGGGGGGCUGGAGUGCGAGGGCGGCCGACGGUGACGGGGUGGAGGCGAGGGGGGGAGGGGAAGCCUAGCGGGAGCGGGCGCUAGGGAUCGGGGAAGAGCAGAAGCUGACAAGUGCAGCGUCAUACUACUAUACAACUUGUUUACAUCGUAUCGAGGGUGUCAAUCAAGAGGAUUAAAGAAUCUAUAAUCGGACCCUUCAUACCCUCCGUAAACAUCCGGACAGGACGCCCGCGCAAUAGGCGGUCACGAAAUUUCGACCAAAUCGAACCUCUCAAACCGACCUCAAACAUCCGAACUAACACCGAGACCUCAUCGCCACCACGAGCCCCCAAGAGAUAGGUCAACCAUCAGCACCGAGGUGACCAAGGGGAUUGGUCGCCGGAUCAUAUCACUUCCACCGCCACCACCCUACACACCAACAACCGAAACAAACACUCCAACCCAGACAACAAGCUACCAACCCCGGAUCCGUGGCUCCCGAAAACAACGCCCCAAGGAAGGAAACGACAUCUAGACAUCAUCGUCGUCUGAUGCAGAGAUGGAUAUGAGGCUUUUGUCCGUGGCACAUGAUUGAGCGGGAACUGUAGCUUUCGGACGACACCUUCAUGAAGGGAAGCGGCACCCGAAGGCGUCAUCGUCAUCGUUGCCAACAAGGUCGACACAAGGCUUUCGCCUGAAGCAUCUUGUCCUAGUCAUCUCCAAUGAAGCUGGUCGUUAAGCCCGGUAGUCCAAGACCUCCCUGUCCUCCAACCAGUCCUUGGCAAGUGUCCCCACUAGGACUAGCACAAGGCUCCGUUGACACAGAAGCUCACCUCGAGCACCUACACAGCCGGAGUGAGGUCGGUGUCGGCUGCACCUGCAUCCAAGCCCUCGCCGUCGGCCACACCCCACCACCGUCGUAGUCAAUCCCUGCUGACAGCAUCCACUGUCGACCUCUAAAGCGUGUUUAUGGGUGUCAGAUAUAUUUUGUGUUAUACUACUGAUGUGAUGGCAAAAUCUUAUUUAGCAGACAUGUAGCUUUCUCCUUGUGUGGCGUAUUUAAAUUGGGCCGUGGUUGUGGGCAAAGCUUACUGGCCGAGCGUGCAACAUGAUUGGCACAUAAGUACCUUCAUCUGAACGAGCAACGGGAUCUCGUUGAACGGGUGUUUUUUUCGAACAUUCGGGCCUGAUGCCUCCUUUGGUUUGGAGAAAUAUCAUAGGAAUUCUAUAGGAUAUGAUUCUUAUAAGAUUUUUUUUCUUUCAAAGCCCUUUGGUUCAAAAGAAUGGGUCCAUUCCUAUUCAUGCAUAGGAUUAGUUCCUAUCCUCUGCAUUUCAAAGGAAAAUAAACACAUGAGCCUAGACUCGGUGAAAAAAUUUCUAUGUUGUGAACCCAACGACAUUUCUUUUCCUAUUUAUCCAAAACAAAAAUCAACAACACUUAUUUUGAAACAGAGUGAGUAGUAAAUUGUCAAGCGCCGAGCACAAAUAUUAGGGCCAUGUUUGUUCACAGGGAUUAGACUAAAAAAUCCUUUUUAGUCUCUAUGUAUUCAAACGGGAGGGACUUUUCUUUAAGUGACUAGAAAAAGGGUCUAUUAAAGAGAUUUUUUUUAGUUCCUGAGACUAAAUAGAAGUCUAGUCCCAAACAACCCCCUAGAUUUUGCGUGGACAAGGAUGCAAGGGAAUUUGCGAGGCAGUUUUCAAAUUUUAACUCCACGGCGCCUUCCUCGUUGGAAGCAAGGCAAGUUGACAGCGGCAUCGGGAGGGAUGCGCUGGCGACGGCGACGGCACCUUUUUUCUAUGUGUGAAGGCGAUCGGGUGAAGAUCUCCGGACAAUAUUAUAGGCAGCUCGAUGCCGAUCCCGGGCGAUCCUGCCUGCCCCAACCUCCAACCACUGCCCGCUGCCCAACUUUCUUCCUUCCAUCUAUGCCUCAAAUAGCAUCAUCCAACGUGCCGCCACCCACCCGCUGCCAGGAUGCAAAUGCAACAGCAAACAACGCAGCGCCAGCACACGCCCUACUAUUUUUCGUUUAUGCGCCAUGGCCCAAAUUCCGGGCUGGCUAAUUGACCUGUCAGCCUAACCCUUCGAUCAGUUCAUCACAGAGUUUCAGUUAGUAGUAGAGCAUGGUUAAUAAUAUAGACAGCUGCAGGUUAUAUGAUGUUGUCAUGUUAUAUGUAGUCUUCAUUUUUAGCCAUUCAUACAAUAAGAUUAACUAUAAGAUUGACAAUAUGAGUAUUAUUUUUGUUUACCGUUUUUCUAUAUUUUUCUUUAUAUUUAUUGCAUCUGCCUCCAAACACGUAUAUAACUUGGCUCUUGCAUAAGAGUCCACUUCCCUUAUUUUUUUUCAUGCCUCUCUCUUUCACAUAAGCAAAAUUAUCAAUUAAGCGGGUUAUAAGUCCAUUAUUAUACUUGCUCAGAGGAGUACAGAAUAGUGGUCAGAAUAAAUAAGCCAUAGAUUAGUCUUAGAAUCAUCAUCAUCAUCAUCCAGGGCGCGCGCGCCGCGGCGGCCAGCAUUAUCUACAACUUGGUCUUCUUCACUUUCAACCUUCCUUUCCCCUCCCCUGCUCAUUCCUUCCUGAGCGCACCAAAAUUCAGCUAGUGUAAAAGUAGUAUGUUUUUUUCUUCUAGUUCUUCACUUAGAACUAAGUAAAUAUUUAACCCGCCCCCAAGAGCUGACACUAGCCAUGAGCACAUGAUGAUGAUUCUUCCAUAUGAGCAAGUAAACCCCAAAAAGUUGCAUGAGCCAACAGAAACAUGAGGUUUCUUGGUUGGGGGUCUUGUUCUUCAGGUCUCCACCGCCAGGCUGCUGCUGCCGCCGCUGGAGAGGCUCGCGUUCGU
Molecule: long non-coding RNA, 30966 nt
Filed under: Hordeum vulgare
Lineage: Eukaryota; Viridiplantae; Streptophyta; Magnoliopsida; Poales; Poaceae
Description: long non-coding RNA (HVUL_LNC008226)
Rfam family: MIR1120/MIR1122 microRNA precursor family (bases 23683-23818)
Source: RNAcentral